AAGAAAAGAGUCAUAGUGGUUGAAGUUUCUCAAGAGACUAAAAAUAUUGAUUGUCCUUCUCUCAAACGACAUGAAUCAAGUAAGGAACCAACCAUGACAAUUUCUCAUCCCCUACAAUUCCUGUCUUGAUAGACAUUCCAUUAUUUCCUGAUGAAUCUAUCCAUCGGUCAGACUCUCCAAUACAAUUGUCUAGUCCUCAACAGUUAAAGAACCAAAGUCCCACAGAGGUAUUACAUUUGGCCCAAACUAUUACCUCUCCCAAUAUUACAUCUUGUGUUGCCCCCUCCACUGAAACAUGAGGGAUCUUUCCUUGGCAUGAUCUUUUGGAAUCAGUGCCAACCUCC
RNAcentral lists this long non-coding RNA (344 nucleotides) under Gossypium barbadense (sea-island cotton). Its description in RNAcentral is "long non-coding RNA (GBAR_LNC013695)". The record is from RNAcentral. Lineage: Eukaryota; Viridiplantae; Streptophyta; Magnoliopsida; Malvales; Malvaceae.